GAGUCACCAAAUUAUUUAAAUAUGAUAUUUAUUGUCUAAAAUAUGUGAAUAUGAAUGUGUGAAAGUUUAAAGCUUCGAUUUAGUUAAUUGCAUGUGAAUUUAGUUAAUAGGACUUAUGUGUGACACUUUUGAAAUGUGAUAGGUUAAUCUAUAAGGAUCUAUUAGUGCAUGUAAUCAAAAGGGUGGACUUGCAUGUCAAUUUCCCCCCUAAUUAGUAGUGGCCGGCCAUGAGCAUGAGGGUGGACAAAAUGUUAUGGCUAAAACAUGUCAUAAACAUGUUGGGUUAAUGCUUUAUGUUAGGAAUAAUAAAAUAAAGAGCAGGGGCAAUAAAAUAUUAGUGUUAGUAGGAGGAGAAACAAAAAAAAAUGUGUGUGGUUGUUCCCCCAUUUUGCCGUAUCUAGAAGAAAAAAAGGGGCUUCAUUCUUUGGUUCUUCUUGGCCAAAUUGAAGAAAGGAAGAAGAGAGGUUUCGGUCACCUUGAGCUUAAGGGGAGGUUAGUAUGUUGUGUUAGAUUCUUAAAUUUUAAACUUGUUUCUAGUUAAUUAGCUAAUUUCUUACACAACCCAUGGCAAAAUUUCGAAAUCUUGGUGAUGGCUUGAGCAUUCGGUUUUAGUUAUUAAAGGAUGAGAUUGGAUUAUAAUCUUUAUGUUUUAUGAAGAAUUGUUGAAGAGAAGGGUUUAAGUAGUCAAAUUAUAAAUUUUAAUGCUCAUGAGUACAAUGGCCAAACAUAGAUUUGUCUAAAGAAUUGAACAAAUGCCGUGUGAGUGAUUGAAAUGAAUGAGUUGGAGGUUGGAUCAUGUUAAGAUUCGGCCUUGUACAUAAACAUUAAGAGUUUGAUGUUUUUGUGAUUUUUGGAAGGUAAAUAAGGUUAUACACAAGAUAAAUACUAAGAUUUUGGUUGACUGUUUUUAGUGAGGUUCGGCCAAGGACCUUAUGUACAAGUUUAUUCGGUUUAAGUAGAGUAAACGUGACGGGUAGAUAUGAAGUAAUGUGUAUAUUGGUUCGGCUACUAAGCAAGGAAAUAAUUGUUGGUAACAUAGUAUCUAUGCACUUAUGAAUAUAUAUAUAUGGUAUUUUAAGUAUAAUUGUUCAUUGAUAAGGUUGGUUAAUAGUUCAAGUAAGGAUUACUAUAUUUGAUAUGUACUGAAUUGAGGCAAUUGGUUCGGCAAUUAGCUUAAGACAUACGGGUAAUAUCAUAUGUCCGAUCAUAGUUAAACAUUAGAUAAUUGUGAUUCUUUGACUACAAUGUUUGAAUAUCGCCAUGGGGAGAAUAUAUGAUCGGUUCCCUAAUAUUAGUUCGAAAUGAAUCUAAAUAAAUAGAUACUUGUAUAUAGUAAAGUUGGAUAAGUAAUUGAAUAAAUUUAUUUGUUUAUUAAGCUCAAGAGCUUAGAGGAUCAAAGUUGGAUAAGGGAAAGGAAAAAGUGAUCGAAUAGCCGCCGAAAUCGUUCGACCACAUCCGAGGUAAGUCUUUGAGUAAUGGAGCUUAGAUUAUGAUUCGAUUAGAUCAUGUUUUAAGUAAAUCAAAAUCAUGCUCUUGUAUGUAGCUAUUGAGCCGAAAAUGAUAAUGCUUGAUAAGUGACUUGUGUUUGAAUUCUAGUUAUGAAAUUGAAAUAGAGAUGUGUCAUGAUUUAUUGAUAUGUGCAUGGAUAUUCGGAUGAUAACCAGGCUAAGUCCCGAAGGCAUUUGUGCUAAUGACUAAUUCCGGGCUAAGUCCCAAAGGCAUUUGUGCGAGUUACUAUAACCGGGCUAAGUCCCGAAGGCAAUUGUGCGAGUUACUAUAACCGGGCUAAGUCCCGAAGGCAUUUGAGCGAGUAGCUAUAUCCGGCUAAACCCCGAAGGUAUUUGGUUGGGAAUGAGCGAUCUUGCUGUAAUAAUUUCAAUUAAUACGCUCGUAAAAUCCCAACGAUGAGGUACGUUCCGUAUAUGCAUUUGAGUAGUGAUUCCGUUUAAAUAUUAUUCGCUCAGUCGAUUAAUGAGCUUCCGGCCUUUGGUUAAGUUGAUCCCUUAUGUAUGAAUAUAAGGGUUGGAAAUGUGAAGUAGGAUUGAUUUUUGAAAAUAUGUGUAUAUGAGAUUAUCCGUUUAGUUAUAUGAAUGCUAUACUUCAGUUGUGCCUAAUUUCAUUGCUCAAAACUUACUAAGCAUUAAAUGCUUAUUCCGUUUCUUUGAUUCUCUGUUUUAUAGAUUUUGGUUCGUCAGCUAUCGGACUCGGGAUUGUCGAAGUCGAAGUCGUCCACACUAUCAAAGCCCUUUUGGUACACUUUUGGUUGAACUCUGAAAAUGGCAUGUAUAGGACUACCCUUUUUGUUGUUGGUCAUGUACCCUUUGGUUUUGUAUAAAUUUGGAUAGCCAUGCGAAAAUGGCUUAUAUACACUUUGAGCAUAGCAUUAUAAUCGUUUUGUAUGUUGUUCAUUAAGAGGUAUGGAAAUGUUUGGUAACGAUUAGCCAUUGGGAAUGGUUAAUUACAAUUAUUUUGAUGCUAUGUAUGACAAACUCUAGUUGAUUCAUGGAAAACCAUGAAAUAGGUAAAGUUUACCUUAAAAACAGAUGCUGACAGCAACAGUGGUGUGGAUUUGAAAAAAUCACUAAAAAUAGUAGGAAUGAAAUUAAAUAGUGAAUAAAUUAUGUAAUUUAACCUUGAUGAAUCUAUUUUCAUAGGAAAGUAAUGAAACGAUCAUAUGAACAAUAUUUUAUGAGAUUUUAGAGUUUUCGUGAAAUAGGGCCAGAGCGGUUUCUGGAUUCCCUGUUUGGACUUAGGAAAUUCAUUAUAAAUUAACCAGAGAUAGUUAGAAGUCAUGCCAUAUAUUUAUAGAUUCCUUUUAGAGUCUAUUUUCUUUAGAAACAAACGACAUAAGUAUUGAAGCCCUGUACAGGGAGAUAUCCAAGUCGUAAUGCAUGAAGGUCAGAAUAGUCAAACCCUGUAACAGGGGAGACUUUAACUAAUAAACUGUACUAAUUGGCCUGACCAAAAAUUCUAGAAAAAUAUUUGUAGAUGGAUAUAUGAGUCUAGCUUCAGGAAAAAUUUACGAAACUGGUUUUCAAGUUUUUGAACUCAAGAUAUGAUUUUUAAGGUGACAGUGACGCAGUUUGCCAGCUUGUUUGGAAAUUUUUAAAAUGGACCGAGAAAAUAAAUGAAUUAAGUCUGUUAGCACCUCGUGUUCGACUCCGGCAACGGUCUCGGGUACGGGGUGUUACAAUUUUAUUGGUAUCAGAGCUACGGUUUAGUCGAUUCUAGGACUACCGUAAUACGUUUGGGUCUAGCUAUACAUGCCAUUUUGUGAUUAUUUGAUAGUGUGGUGAUUUCUGACAAUUGAAAAUGUGUUUAUUUAUAGUAAUGGAUCCCGAUCCCGACUGAGUGGUAGCUGAUGAUCUUGAGAGUGUUGCUCCCGCACAAGGGACAGUGCCGGCGGACUCUCAACCUAUUGCUAGUAAUCCGAAUGAUGAGGCUAGAUAAGCUUUUUAUAGCGUGAUGAAUUAUUGGUUCAACCAAUACAUUCGAACUAAUACGGCUGUUCCACAACCUCCAUUCCCGACUAAUACCACCCCCGCACCUACAAUACCUCUGGUCACUGACCAAAUAAGGUCAAAUAAGCCCCCAGUUGACAGAAUCCGAAAACACGGGGCUAUUGAAUUUAAAGCUACGGAUAGCGACGACGCCGAGCAAGCUGAAUUUUGGUUGGAUAACACUAUUCGGGUACUUGAUGAACUAUCUUGCACACCCGAUGAAUGCUUAAAGUGUACUAUCUCCUUGCUACGUGAUUCUGCCUACUAUUGGUGGAAUACGUUGAUUUCUGUUGUGCCCCGAGAGCAAGUAACUUGGGAGUUUUUGCAAACUGAGUUUCGAAAGAAGUAUAUCAGUCAGAGAUUCAUUAACCAAAAACGGAAGGAAUUUCUUGAACUUAAACAAGGGUCCAUGUCGGUUACCGACUAUGAACGAAAAUUUGUGAGGCUUAGCCGGUACUCACGAGAAUGCAUUUUUUCAGAAGCUGUGAUGUGUAAACGUUUCGAAGAUGGACUGAAUGAUGAUAUAAAGCUGUAUGUUGGCAUUUUAGAAAUCUGAGAAUUUGUGGUACUUGUCGAGCGAGCUUGCAAAGCCGAGGAGCUCAGUAAGGAGAAAAGGAAAGCUGAUAUGGGAGCAAAGGAGUUUCGUAAGAGAUCUUCGAGAAAGCCCUUCCAACAGUCAUCAAAGAAAUUUAGAGAUGACUUAGGCCGGUCUAGAGACACUUCAAGUUUUGCUAGAAGAGAUCGUGACCGACCCCCUGUGAGUACACGAGUCACUUCGGUCGCCAGUGUUGGAAACGAUCAUCGAGACAGAACGGAGUGCCAGUAUUGUGGUAAAUGGCAUUCGGGGAGUUGUAGAUUCCAUGACCGCUCCUGUUAUAAAUGCGGAUCAGCUGACCAUUUUAUCAAGGAUUGCCCGAGACUGUCUGAACAAAAUGUAAAUCAGAGUGGGAAACCAGGGGCUACUACUGCUCGAGGUAGACCGUCCAGAAACACGGGCAAUUCUAGUGGCGGUCAAAGAGGAUCUAGAGAUGCUACAACCAGAUCUGAGGCUCGUGCUCCCGCUAGAGCUUAUGCCAUACGCGCACGCGAGGAUGCUUCCUCGCCAAAUGCUAUUACCGGUACUUUUACUCUCUUCGAUACUAAUGUUAUUGCUUUGAUUGACCCUGGUUCUACUCAUUCUUAUAUAUGUGAAACCUUAGCAUCCAGUAAGACUCUACUGUUGAGUCUACUGAGUUUGUAAUUCGGUUGUCAAAUCCCUUGGGUCGUUACGUGCUUGUCGACAAGGUGUGUAAGAAAUGUCCCCUAGUAAUUCGAGGUUCCUGUUUUCCGGCGGACUUGAUACAUUUUCUGUUUGAUGAAUUUGAUGUUAUUCUUGGUUUGGAUUGGUUGACCGUGCAUGAUGCGGUUGUGAAUUGCAAAAGAAAGACUAUUGAUUUGAGGUGCGCAAAUAAUGAGAUAAUCCGAGUUGAGUCUACUGUCUUGAGUGGAUUGCCAACAAUAAUAUCCUCGAUGUUAGCUCAAAGAUAUGUGAGAAAGGGGUGUGAAGCGUAUCUGGCAUACGUACUUGAUAAUAAAGAGCCAGAGAGGAAACUUGAAUCUGUGCCGGUGGUUUGUGAAUAUCUGGAUGUUUUUCCCGAAGAAUUAUCGGGUUUACCACCUGUUCGGGAGGUAGAGUUUGGUAUUGAGCUUGUACCUGGGACUACACUGAUUUCGAUAGCUCCGUAUCGUAUAGCACCAACAGAAUCAAAGGAAUUGAAAGCUCAGUUGCAAGAGUUGACGGAUAGAGGUUUCGCUCGACCAAGUUUCUCACCUUGGGGUGCACCAGUAUUGUUUGUGAAAAAGAAGGACGGAACCAUGAGGUUGUGCAUCGACUAUCGUCAACUGAAUAAGGUGACAAUAAAGAAUAAAUAUCCGAUACCGCGCAUUGACGAUUUGUUUGAUCAACUAAAGGGAGCCUCGGUGUUUUCAAAGACAGAUUUGAGAUCGGGUUAUUACCAGUUGCGAAUUCGAGAUUCGGAUAUACCCAAAACUGCUUUCAGAACGAGAUACGGCCACUACGAGUUCUUAGUGAUGCCGUUUGAGCUCACUAAUGCCCCUGCGGUAUUUUUGGAUUUGAUGAAUCGAAUCUUCAGACCGUAUUUGGACCGGUUUGUAGUUGUGUUUAUUGAUGACAUCUUGGUCUACUCAAGAGAUGAAACCGAGCAUGCUGAGCACCUGAGAUUAGUGUUGCAGGUUUUACGAAAUAAGCAGUUAUAUGCUAAGUUCAGUAAGUCUGAGUUCUGGUUAAGGGAGGUGAGCUUCUUGGGUCAUGUGGUAUCCGCAUCGGGUAUUUGAGUAGAUCCAAGCAAAAUUUCAGCCAUACUUAACUAGAAGCCUCCGAGAAAUAUUACUGAGGUUCGUAGCUUUUUGGGACUUGCCGGUUACUACCGACGGUUUGUAAAAGGUUUCUCGAUGAUAGCCACACCAAUGACGAAGCUACUUCAAAAAGAUGUUAAGUUCGAAUGGACGGAAAAAUGUCAGAAAAGUUUUGAUCAACUGAAAACUUAUUUGACUGAAGCUCCAAUUCUAGUGCAGCCCGAAUCAGGCAAAGAGUUUGUCAUUUAUAGUGAUGCCUCCCUACUUGGGUUGGGUUGCGUAUUAAUGCAAGAAGGUCGAGUUUUGGCCUAUGCGUCGAGACAAUUGAAGCCACACGAGAAAAAUUAUCCGACCCAUGAUCUCGAACUAGUUGCCAUCGUGUUCGCCUUGAAAAUAUGGCGACAUUAUUUAUUUGGUGAGAAGUGCCAUGUAUAUUCGGAUCACAAAAUUCUCAAAUAUUUGAUGACUCAAUGAGACUUGAAUCUGCGACAAAGGCGUUGGCUUGAGUUGUUGAAAGAUUAUGAGCUUGUCAUUGAUUAUCACCCAAGAAAGGCUAAUGUGGUUGUGGACGCCUUAAGCCGGAAAUCAAUGUUUUCUUUACGAGCGAUGAAUGCACACUUGUCUGUUCUACCCGAAAAUGUGUUAGUAGCUGAAUUAAAGGCCAAACCAUUAUUGAUUCAUCAAAUUCGUGAAGCUCAGAAAGUCGAUGAUGAAUUGGUUGCAAAACGGGCUGAAUGUGUUCCGAAUAUGGAAUCAGAGUUUCAAAUUGAUGAUGAUGAUUGUUUGAGGUUCAGAAGUCGUUUGUGUGUUCCAAGAAAUUCAGAACUCAUUUCGAUGAUUCUGAACGAAGCUCAUUGUAGCCGAAUGCCAAUUCACCCGGGGAGUAUGAAAAUGUACAACGAUCUGAGACGUCAGUUUUGGUGGCAUGGUAUGAAACGAGACAUUUCCGAUUUUGUUUCGAAGUGUUUAAUAUGUCAGCAAGUGAAGGCGGAACAUCAAGUGCCGACGGGUUUACUUCAGCCGAUCAUGAUACCUGAAUGGAAAUGGGAUCGAGUCACGAUGGAUUUUGUAUCUGGGUUGCCAGUAUCGGCACGUAAGAAAGAUGCGAUUUGGGUUGUUGUUGAUAGACUGACUAAGUCGGCUCACUUCAUCCCCGUACGUACAGAUUUUUCAUUGGAUAAACUUGCUGAAUUGUAUGUUUCUCAGAUUGUGAGAUUACACGGGGUACCUAUUUCUAUUGUACCGGAUAGACAUCCGAGAUUCACCUCGCGAUUUUGGAAGAAGUUGCAAGAAGCCUUGGGUACCAAGUUGCAUUUUAGCACCGCUUUUCAUCCCCAAACCGAUGGUCAAUCCGAGCGGAUAAUUUAGAUACUCGAGGAUAUGUUGAGAUGCUGCAUCCUUGAGUUUAGUGGUUCAUGGGAACGGUAUCUACCUUUGAUUGAGUUCGCUUACAACAAUAGUUUUUAGUCAAGCAUUAAGAUGGCGCCUUACGAGGCUUUGUACGGUCGAAAAUGCCGAACACCAUUGUUUUGGACUGAGCUCGGUGAAAGUAAAAUUUUCGGAGUUGAUUUAAUCAAAAAUGCUGAACAGAAAGUAAAGAUAAUUCGUGAAAGUCUAAAGGCAGCAUCAGAUCGUCAGAAGUCGUACACGGAUUUAAAACGAAGAGAUAUUGAGUAUCAGGUGGGAGACAAAGUAUUUCUUAAGGUGUCACCUUGGAAAAAGAUACUCAGAUUUGGCCGUAAGGGAAAACUGAGUCCAAGGUUCAUAGGGCCAUAUGAAGUAUCCGAACGAAUUGGUCAAGUUGCGUAUAGAUUGAUUUUGCCCCCUGAACUUGAAAAGAUUCACGACGUCUUUCAUGUUUCGAUGCUUCGACGUUAUAGAUCUGAUCCAUCACACGUAAUUAAUCCAUCAGAGGUUGAAAUUCAAUCCGACAUGAGUUAUGAAGAAGAACCGAUUCGUAUCCUAGCUCGUGAAGUGAAAGAGUUGUGAAACAAAAGGGUUCCGUUAGUAAAAGUGUUAUGGCUCAAACACGGAAUCGAAGAAGCUACUUGGGAAACCGAGAACUCUAUGAAAGAACGUUACGCAAACCUAUUUACCGGUAAGAUUUUCGGGGACGAAAAUUUCUUAAGUGGGAGAGAGUUGUGAAGCCCUAAAGUGACCCUAGUCGGAAAGCGGUUUCGGGACCGCUAAACCGAGUCACCAAAUUAUUUAAAUAUGAUAUUUAUUGUCUAAAAUAUGUGAAUAUGAAUAUGUGAAAGUUUAAAGCUUCGAUUUAGUUAAUUGCAUGUGAAUUUAGUUAAUAAGACUUAUGUGUGACACUUUUGAAAUGUGAUAGGUUAAUCUAUAAGGAUCUAUUAGUGCAUGUAAUCAAAAGGGUGGACUUGCAUGUCAA
Molecule: long non-coding RNA, 8247 nt
Filed under: Gossypium barbadense (sea-island cotton)
Lineage: Eukaryota; Viridiplantae; Streptophyta; Magnoliopsida; Malvales; Malvaceae
Description: long non-coding RNA (GBAR_LNC004361)
Source: RNAcentral